CCCUUAGAUGUUCUGGGCCGCACGCGCGCUACACUGACGAAGUCAGCGAGCAUGUCCUACGCCGACAGGUGCGGGGAAUCUUGUCAAACUUCGUCGUGAUGGGGAUUGAUUAUUGAAAUUCUUGAUCAUCAACGAGGAAUUCCUAGUAAGCGCAAGUCAGCAGCUUGCGUUGAUUACGUCCCUGCCCUUUGUACACACCGCCCGUCGCUACUACCGAUUGAAUGGUUUAGUGAGAUCUCCGGAUUGGCGCCACUGCGGCUCAGCAAUGGGCUCGGUGGAUGCCGAAAAGUUGAUCAAACUUGAUCAUUUAGAGGAAGUAAAAGUCGUAACA
RNAcentral lists this ribosomal RNA (331 nucleotides) under uncultured eukaryote. Its description in RNAcentral is "partial 18S ribosomal RNA". It matches the Rfam family "Eukaryotic small subunit ribosomal RNA", at positions 1470 to 1796 of the family's 1831-position model. The record is from RNAcentral.